Long non-coding RNA from Cyprinus carpio (common carp), 5073 nucleotides. Lineage: Eukaryota; Metazoa; Chordata; Actinopteri; Cypriniformes; Cyprinidae. The record is from Ensembl.
UCUAAAGUAACCUUCUUGCAGUGUUUCUCAAAUAAUCUUGUUUUCUUUAAAUGUCAGAUAUAACACUGAACAGACCAUCUGUAAAAAUGACAUGCAUCAUUAAACAUCCUAUUAUUUAAGUUUUAAACAUCAGGUGAGAUUUGUUGCUGCCCACUGGGGGUCUAAGAUUUGAGCUUCUUCAUAAAGAAACAAAAUAUUGAUUGAAAUGAAAAUAUCUGAAAGUUGUCUACAGCCAUUCUUUGUUUGACGCAAUCUAUCCUGUUACAGAAAAAUUCUGUAAAACAAAAACUGCCAGAGUAAAUCCCAGUGAGUUUUGCUAAGCUUCCCUAGGGCAGUUACAGAGAUCGUCAAACAAAGAUGAAAUGCUGAAAUUCACGUAAUGAUGUGCGAAUUCAGGAACAUGCUUUACAUUUCAAAGAUGUCUCUGUGCUGCUCAACCUGUGACGGCAGUGAAGAAAACUGCAAGGCAGACUAAGCACUGUUUGAACUUUAACUCAAAGAAAAGAUCUGACAGGUUUAGUCUUCACUCUGAAAGGAAGAAGGACGAGGCUAAUCCAUAACACUUAUUUUUCAAAAUAUGAUCUGGAUCUUAUUAUAUAUAUGGUACCCUAAGGAACUGAACAAAGGACAGUAAUAGGAACCCAGGUUGACAUAAAAAGGACCAUGUCGCCCUUAGUGGUUCUAUUGAUUGUUAUAGGAUUGUUGGGGCCAACAUGUGAAAAUCUAAAUAAUGUGUCUGAUUCAGUUUCACAUCAUAAGCGAUCAGCAGACCAAAGCGCCAACAACAGGACCCAGGUGAAUAACAGCGCACUGGAAUAUUGGCCUGUGGCCAACCGUACAGAUAUUAAAACUUUUAGGAAAGGAUCACUAGUUAUUUCCAGACAGUACUGGUACCCCGUUUUAGAAAUAGCCAUUAAAAAAAGCCCCACAUCCCCUGCAAUAACCCCAGCCACAACACCAACAGAGUCAUUCAACUCAUCACCAGUAACAACUAUGUUGCCCACUUCAUUUUUCCCAACAACUGCACAAACAACCACUUCAGGGCCAUCAACAACCAAAACAACAAUGUCUACAAUUUCACUAGAGCCCCUAAUUACCAGCACUCAAGCACAUAUCAGCAAACAGAAGACCACUCCAAGUGAAAUCUCAGAAACCACAACAGAAACUUCAGCACUGCCACCAGCUAUCACCACUCCAACAACAAUCUUACCAACUACCAACUCAAGACAACAAACAACCAUCACACAUACUACAACUUCAACAACGCUACCAAAAACUACCACUUCAAACCAUAUAACAUUAGAAACUCCAACAUCAGAGGGUGCUACAACCAUUACGCAGACUGCCACUGUAAAGGAUGGCUCAAAUGCUCCAAGGGUAACAACAACUGCCAUUUCAUCCGCAAGUCUACCUGCUACAUCAAGAGCAGGAGUUAGUUUUGAAAGUACAACAGCUGAAAGAACUUCCAUAACUGCAUCACCGGUAUCAGAUACUACUUUAUGGUCUGCAGUGGCACCAGGAACAACAAUGGCAGCAACAAAAAUUGUAAUACCCCAAACAGGGGCCGUGACAACAAUUCAGCUUACACAAACACUAUCUACAACAGAGGCAGUGUCAAGCAAUGCAGUACAAUCUGCAAUAACAGAGUCAUCAUCACCUCAAGUCACAACAGAACCUUUAACAACCAAAACAGUUUCAAUAACACCAAAUGAAACAACAGUGUCUGCAUCAGAAACAGCACCGCCAGCAACAAAAAUACCAUCAUCUAAUGCGAUUUUUACAGCUGCCGAGGCAACAAGUGCAACUACUUUAACAUCAACAGGAGCAUCAUCAGCAUUGCCAGCAACUGUUUGGGGCACAACCACAGCAGCAACUGUUAGCAAUGAACCAGAAUCAACCAAGAACACACUAGCUGUGGGUCCAUCUACUGUGUUACAUACUGUGGCAGGAGAUACAGUCACAACAACAUCGACAAGCUUAGCAGAGGCUACUACUGCACCCAAAGCUUCAACCUUGGUACCAGUGACAUCUCAAGUCACACCAGAACCCUCAACAGUCCAAAAGGAAACUACAACAUUAAUGUCAGUAAAGCCAGUAACAUCAGAAGUCUCCACCACUGUCGAAAGAGUGACACAAGAACCUACAACGCAUGCUGACACUGGUUCUUCAUCAGCAGGAAUAACUACAUUGACAGCAUCUGGUACAACAAAAUCAACAUUUGCUCCUACUACAGUAGCACCAAAAACAGAGGGAUCAUCACCUUUACCUGAAACAGGUGAAGUAAAGACAACAACUGCAAGAACAUCCGGAACUACAGAAUCAUCUGCAGAAGCCCCAACAUCGUUGGUACGAACAAUAAGUGCAACUACUGCAGCAUCAGCAGGAGUGACAUCAGCAUUGCCAGCAACAGCACUGGGCUCAACCACAGCAGCAACUGUUAGCAAUGAACCAGAAUCAACCAAGAACACACUAGCUGUGGGUUCAUCUACUGUGUUACAUUCCGUGGCAGUAGAUACAGUCACAACAACAUCGAUAACAAGCUUAGCAGAGUCUACUACUGCACCCAAAGCUUCAACAUUGGUACCAGUGACAUUUCAAGUCACAAAAGAACCCUCAACAGUCCAAAAGGAAACUACAACAUUAAUGUCAGUAAAGCCAGUAACAUCAGAAGUCUCCACCACUGUCGAAAGAGUGACACAAGAACCUACAACGCAUGCUGACACUGGUUCUUCAUCAGCAGGAAUGACUACAUUGACAGCAUCUGGUACAACAAAAUCAACAUUUGCUCCCACUACAGCAGCACCAAAAACAGAGGGAUCAUCAUCUUUACCUAAAACAGGUGACGUAAAGUCAACAACUGCAAGCACAUCCAUAACUAGAGAAUCAUCUGCAGAAGCCCCAACAUUAUUGGUACGAACAACAAGUGCAACUACUGCAGCAUCAGCAGGAGUGACAUCAGCAUUGCCAGCAACAGCACUGGGCUCAACCACAGCAGCAACUGUUAGCAAUGAACCAGAAUCAACCAAGAACACACUAGCUGUGGGUCCAUCUACUGUGUUACAUACUGUGGCAGGAGAUACAGUCACAACAACAUCGACAACAAGCUUAGCAGAGUCUACUACUGCACCCAAAGCUUCAACCUUGGUACCAGUGACAUCUCAAGUCACACCAGAACCCUCAACAGUCCAAAAGGAAACUACAACAUUAAUGUCAGUGAAGCCAGUAACAGUGGCCCAUACAUCAGAAGUCUCCAUCACCGUCGAAAGAGUGACACAAGAACCUACAACGCAUGCUGACACUGGUUCUUCAUCAGCAGGAAUAACUACAUUGACAGCAUCUGGUACAACAAAAUCAACAUUUGCUCCCUCUACAGCAGCACCAAAAACAGAGGGAUCAUCAUCUUUACCUAAAACAGGUGACGUAAAGUCAACAACUGCAAGCACAUCCAUAACUAUAGAAUCAUCUGCAGAAGCCCCAACAUUAUUGGUACGAACAACAAGUGCAACUACUGCAGCAUCAGCAGGAGUGACAUCAGCAUUGCCAGCAACAGCACUGGGCUCAACCACAGCAGCAACUGUUAGCAAUGAACCAGAAUCAACCAAGAACACACUAGCUGUGGGUCCAUCUACUGUGUUACAUACUGUGGCAGGAGAUACAGUCACAACAACAUCGACAACAAGCUUAGCAGAGUCUACUACUGCACCCAACGCUUCAACCUUGGUACUAGUGACAUCUCAAGUCACAACAGAACCCUUAACAGUCCAAAAGGGAUCUACAACAUUAAUGUCAGUGAAGCCAGUAACAGUGGCCCACACAUCAGAAGUCUCCACCACUGUCGAAAGAGUGACACAAGAACCUACAACACAUGCUGACACUGGUUCUUCAUCAGCAGGAAUAACUACAUUGACAGCAUCUGGUACAACAAAAUCAACAUUUGCUCCCACUACAGCAGCAGCCCCAAAAACAGAGGGAUCAUCAACUAUACCUGAGACAGGUGAAGUAAAAACAACAACUGCAAGAACAUCCAGAACUUCAGAAUCAUCUGCAGAAGCCUCAACAUUGUUGGUACGAACAACAAGUGCAACUACUGCAGCAUCAGCAGGAGUGACAUCAGCAUCACCAGCAACUACAGCAGGGACCACCACAGCAACAAUAACUACAACUGAAGAUGCAGUGACAACAAGAGAGUCUGCUACUGCGCCCAAAGCUUCUACCUGGGUACCAGUGACAUCAGCAUUGGCAGCAACUGCAUCAGGGACAACUACAGCAGCUACUGUUAGCAGUGAACCAGAAUCAACCAAGAAUACAUCAGCUGAGGUUUCAUCCCCUGUAUUACAUUCUGAAACAAUGACAACAACAACAGCAACAACAAUGAAGCCAGUAACAGUAUCUCAUACUUCAGAGGUCUCCACCACUGUCGAAAGAGUGACACAAAAACCUACAAAUCAACCUGAAACUGGUUCUUUAUCAACAGGACAUACUACGUUGAACAACUUUGGUACCACAGAUUCAGAAAUUACACUGACGACAGAGGCCACAAACACUGAUCCUCCUACCAUAGAAGAGGGAAGCAUACACUUAAGAUUCAGUCUAAAUGAAACUUUCAGAGAAGUAUAUAGCAACCGAUCAUCCCCUGAAUUCUUUGCAUUGGCAUCACAUGUGGUAACUGUGAUAAACAGAAUUUACAGGGCAAGCUAUCUCAGAGGAUACAGGCGAUGCAGAGUCAACUUUUUCACGAGUGGCUCCAUUAAAGUUGAUAUGACUCUUAUCUUUGAGAAUUCUUCUAUAGUCCCAAGCUCAUUUGAGGUAGAAGCUAUUCUUAACAAGAACGCUCUGAAUGGUUCCAUACCUCUGGACAUCAUACCUGAUACUAUCAAAGCAGGGGAUCUAGUUACUUCUACACCAGUGCCUAUCACAAAUGCAACUGUUGAAUCUACCACCAUGAAAUACACAUCGGGUGCAAAUGAGUACGCAAACACCACCUCUAGUGGCUUUCCAUGGAUGGUACGCUGUUCACUUAUGACUAUAUAUCCAGCCAUUAUUGUUUUAUUAGCACAAACAUUGUUAUGGUGA